CUACGUAGGUGACAAGCGUUAUCCGGAUUUACUGGGCGUAAAGGGCGUGUAGGCGGUCUUGCAAGUCAGAAGUGAAAUUCCUGAGCUCAACUCGGGCGCUGCUUCUGAAACUGCAGGACUUGAGUGCUGGAGGGGAUAGCGGAAUUCCUAGUGGAGCGGUAAAAUGCGCAGAUAUUAGGAAGAACACCGGUGGCGAAGGCGGCGAUCUGGACAGUAACUGACGCUGAGGCGCGAAAGCGUGGGGAGAAAACAGGAUUAGAUACCCUGGUAGUCCACGCCGUAAACGAUGAAUGCUAGGUGUAGGGGGUAUCGACUCCCUCUGUGCCGCAGUUAACACAAUAAGUAUUCCGCCUGGGGAGUACGGCCGCAAGGUUGAAACUCAAAUGAAUUGACGGGG
RNAcentral lists this ribosomal RNA (397 nucleotides) under uncultured bacterium. Its description in RNAcentral is "partial 16S ribosomal RNA". It matches the Rfam family "Bacterial small subunit ribosomal RNA", at positions 523 to 918 of the family's 1533-position model. The record is from RNAcentral.